Non-coding RNA from Caerostris darwini, 90 nucleotides. The record is from the annotation of a GenBank genome assembly. Lineage: Eukaryota; Metazoa; Arthropoda; Arachnida; Araneae; Araneidae.
AACGGCCAUACCAUGCUGAAUAUACCGGUUCUCGUUAGAUCACCGAAGUUAAGUUGUGUGGGUGACCACCUGGGAACACUGCGUGCCGUU